GCAUAUCAAUAAGCGGAGGAAAAGAAACUAACAAGGAUUCCCCUAGUAACUGCGAGUGAAGCGGGAAAAGCUCAAAUUUAAAAUCUGGCGGUCUUUGGCCGUCCGAGUUGUAGUCUGGAGAAGUGCUUUCCGCGCUGGACCGUGUACAAGUCUCCUGGAACGGAGCGUCAUAGAGGGUGAGAAUCCCGUCUUUGACACGGACUACCAGUGCUCUGUGAUGCGCUCUCAAAGAGUCGAGUUGUUUGGGAAUGCAGCUCAAAAUGGGUGGUGAAUUCCAUCUAAAGCUAAAUAUUGGCGAGAGACCGAUAGCGAACAAGUACCGUGAGGGAAAGAUGAAAAGCACUUUGGAAAGAGAGUUAAACAGUACGUGAAAUUGCUGAAAGGGAAACGCUUGAAGUCAGUCGCGUCGGCCGGAACUCAGCCUUGCUUUUGCUUGGUGUACUUUCCGGUCGACGGGCCAGCAUCGAUUUCGAUCGUCGGAAAAAGGCAGAGGGAAUGUGGCACCUUCGGGUGUGUUAUAGCCCUCUGUUGCAUACGACGGUUGGGAUCGAGGUUCGCAGCACGCCUUUAUGGUCGGGGUUCGCCCACGUUCGUGCUUAGGAUGCUGGCGUAAUGGCUUUAAACGACCCGUCUUGAAACACGGACC
Molecule: ribosomal RNA, 646 nt
Filed under: Polyporales sp. JCM 28434
Lineage: Eukaryota; Fungi; Basidiomycota; Agaricomycetes; Polyporales
Description: eukaryotic LSU rRNA
Rfam family: Eukaryotic large subunit ribosomal RNA
Source: RNAcentral